AUUGGUUCCAUGGUGUUUUUAAAAUGAUGACGUCGUUCUCUUCAUUAUUGUCAUAGCUCUCAUAGUGACAAUUAAGACUCGCUUUUCCAAUGAAUUUCAACAGUAUAACAAUAGCAACAGAGAGCUCCGCCUCGGUUGGCUGCUCGAGUCGGAAUGUAUUAUGCGGUUUUGUUUCCUACCUAAGCUGAUAGCCUUGAGAGGCUAUGUCAGCGUAACCCUAACGUUAGGUGAGCUUUCGGGGCUCAAACAAGGAAGCGUUGCUAAGACUGACCUUAGCAAGAGCCGUGCUUCGCAGAAUCUACCACCGGAUCGGAAACGCGACCCACUGAGAAGAUCCGGCCAGAAACUUAGUGGGCUGUGUCUAUGGGUUAGUUUACGUCGAACGUGUUUAGGGGGAACACGACAGUUUACCAUUCGAUCCGCAGGAUCGAGUAUGUAAUUUCCCGCAGCCACGACAAGAGGUUUUCGUGUCGUGCCGCCUUCUCAAAGUUCCACACUGAUGCCGACUGAAUAUACUUACUGAUGGAGUCAAGCUUCAGGUCAUCAUGGAGAUCCACAUUUCUCAUGAACCACGGUGCGCCGACGGGUAUCCUACAAAAACGGGAUUGAAUGACUUGAAGCGGCUUCAAAUUAGUGCGGGCCGCGUGAGUGAACACUACACUGUCCGGUUAUGACCGGACUUAUGCAAGUUUUGUAGAGUGGCUCCUUGUUACGAAGGGACUUCGCUUGCAAAUCAUUGGAUAGAGGCGUCCUAGUAUAAAAGCGGCACGGUCAUGUAGCGUUUUUAGGUGGGGACGGAAUAUCAUCCAUCUGUCGAGGCUGACGCCUUGAUACUUGACCUUCGAGACCACCGGUAUGGGCUGGUCAAAAAGAGUGAUGGGGCGAUAGCGGAGAUAUUAACGCGCCUAUUAGGGAGUAGGGUUUUGUGUGACAAUAGUCACUCGUAUUUAUAGUAGAAAAAUGGCUGUAGCUUGGUCAUGAAUUUUCUUAAAUACCGUCUUAAGCACAUGUUUACACACGUUGGAAUUAUAACCACAAUUUUUUUGAUGUAUGUGAGAGGUGUGUGAUGUGUAUGAGAGGUACGUGAGACUCAACGACCUGCAGGUGUUGAGAGCACUAAUGUCAACAUUAAGGAAACUUUAACUAAUCAUUGUUAACUAAAUGGUAAUGUUGUGCCAACAUAUAUACAUCCUUAAGGAGAUGAAAACCAGAGACUUCUUUUAAUUCCUAGCCUUUUCCCGAGAUCCGCUUUCCUACUUAAACUAUGAAAACCAGACUAUUCGAUAAUGAUUUCGUGUUAUAAAAAACACGAUUAAAUUUGUAUUGGACCGUAAACGUGUCUUGUCGAUCUGUGUUUCUGUCUCAGUUUCACUUUAAUUAAAAUAUACGAGUAUAAUGAAAGUGUUGCUGAUUGUAUUGACUACGCACUAUGACGGUGAAAACGGCGCGAAAUAAGACAUUCUGUUUAUUUUAAUGUUGGUACUUUUAAAAAUGUUAAGGAAACUAGAUAUCAUUAGGUGGCUCUUUGGAGCAGUUUACCGUGGUCGGACGGAACAAAUAGGACAUAAUUCGAAUCUUCUUUGUCUCUACCUUAACACACCAGGUGGGGUCGGUACAGCAAUGUUUCUAUUCCAUUCUAUUCUAUCAGCCGUCAUAUCAACACUCGCUCCUCUCUUUCUCAUAUCGUCAUUCACAUACUGCAUCCAUGUCUUCUUUGGUCGACCUCUUCCCCCUCCACUUUAAACUUUUCCAUACAUCUCCUCUCUACGCAUUACAUGUCCAUACCACGUUAACCGUCCGCUCUUUAUUUACUAAUCACUGGACUACUUUCACACUGCCUCUAAUUCUAGAACAUAAUUCGAAUAAAAGUUCGAAAGGCAGACGUCCUAUCGCGAAUGUAGACUGCCUGAGCUGCGUUCUCUUUUUUCCUCUACCUAUGCUGAUAGCCUUGAGAGGCUAUUUCAGCUUCUCCUUGACGUGUAGGUAAGCUCACAUGGCUCAAACCGGAGUGUUGCUAACACUGGCCCUAGCAAGAGCAGUGCUUUGCAGAUUCUACAACCGGAUCAGAAAAGCGACCCACUGAGAAGAUCCGGCGAGAAAAUCAGUGAGCGUGUCUAUGGAAUGUUUUAUCUAUCAAUCGAUCAUACUUUUGUCACCACACUUAAUGUAUAGACAGGAACACGAACUCACUACCGCCCCUAACUGUUAGAUAUUAACGUUCGUGCAAUUCUUUUCAAUGGAAUGUUUUUUUAUUUAUUUUUCACAGCAAAAGUAUACAAAACCGUAUCGGUAAGCCGUAUAGCAUUUUUAUUACGUUUUUAUUAGCGAUCAAUUGUGAAUUUAUAAUUCAACAGCCGCCCAGUUCUGUAUUCGAUAUAAAUUUAGUAACACUUUCUCUGGAGGUUACAAAUGUACAUUGUCACGGUUAUAUUGGAUAGUUUUAUUGUCUAUACAAAAUUCGGAACGCCAUUGUUUCUGAUUGCGCAGUCUUAAAUCGGUUGAUUUGAGGAGAUUUUACUGUUGUUUUUUUUCGUUCCUCUUUUUAAUUGGGAAAUUUUACUUCUUUCUUUAUAAGGGCAACCCUUUGAUAUGUGAAGUAAGUUUACAGUGUACCUACGUUAAGAAAUCUGACAGCAAGAAGUUUGCAAUGUUCUGAGAAUUUUGUAACGAUACCCGUGUUUGUUUAUGCUUUGCAAGCAUGUAUUCCAUGUAUGCGUGUUUAGGACAUGUUUACGAUUGACAUCCACAAUGAAAGAAUAACAAUGUGUAAUUAAAAUUAAACCAGCAAAGAUUAGUUUAGGUAUUAACGGAUGGUAGGACGUUUUGUGAGUCCGCACGGGUAGAUACCACCAUCCCGCCUAUUUCUGCCGUGAAGCAGUAAUGCGUUUCGGUUUGAAGGACGGGGCAGCCGUUGUACUGUAAAACCGGAGACUUAGAACUCAUGUCUCAAGUUGGGUGGCGGCAUUUACGUUGUAGAUGUCUAUGGGGUCCGGUAACAACUUAACAUCAGGUGGCCCGUGAGCUCAUACAUCCAUCUAAGCAAUAAAAAAAACAUUGGGAGGGCAGUCUCAUCAGUAUAUUUAGGGCAAUUAAAAAACAAAAAACAGAAAUCGAUCUUGUAGAAAUUUGAAACCUUUUAAACAAUUCUGAUAAUUGUAUCUCAAGAUGAGUGGCGAAGCGGUAAUGUUAUUAGGCCCAUAUUGCCAGUUAUGACUUAUUUUUAAGUAGACCAUGAAUAUAAUCUACAGCAACAAAAAACUGAAGCAAGUCUAUAUUAACGAAGCAUACGUUUAAAGUAAUUCCUAAUCUGUAAUAUCUUUCAAAAACUCCAAAUUCCGCGUAAACAAAUAUUUGUAUCACCAGGAAAUUCUCCGAAAUAAAUAUUUUACAAAAAAAAUACAAGGAAUUCAUAACGACAAACCAGAAACAGGACGGAACGUAAAGUUUUAUCAUUGCAGGAUCUGCGGGCGUGGCCAUUAUUGUACAGGUAGAUCUUUUCGCCAUGCAGAAGAAGGCUACAGAGGUUUUCGGCCCAAAAACAAAAGAGAAGAAGGAAUAAAAAUAGCAGAAAUAAAACAAAAAUACUCCAUAACAGAGCCCUUAAUUUGUACAUUUUAUUUUUUAUGCUUAUGGACUUUUACAUACGUUCAAAACAAAUAUAAUACGAGAGCCGUUUGGAGCCAUGUUUUGGAUUUUACUGGUAUAGAAUUCGAGUUAUAUAAAUAACGUACAAUAACAAAUGACGAAGUCGACGUGGCCUAAAGGAUAAAACGCCUGUUGCAUUCAUAUCAAUGAGACUGUGCCGGUAUUCGAAUCUCGCAAACAGGUGCGAUUUUUUUAAAUUAAAUACGUACUUAUCAAAUGUUCAAGAAUAACUUCCUCUGUAAAGGAAUGAUACCAUGCUAUAAAAAACAAACCCGUAAAUGCAAUACUGAAAAUAAGACGAAGAAAUGUGAAAGUAAUGUUGUACGAGGAUGAACAGUCUUGAAAUUACAAACUCUGCUAUGAUGAGGAGGGGACGCUUAGGGACUUAUAUAGCAGAAAAUAUUAUAUAAUUGGUCAGCAUAGAUAAUAAACUUAAUUGUUGGUCAGCGAUAAAUAUUACUUAAUUUUAGAAGAAAAACGAAAAACAUAUCUAAAUAUCCAUAGGAUCACAGACCCCAUGACAAUAGACGUGUAAGUUGAUGGAAUUUACCCAUUCAAUAAAUAUGUAUAUAAUUGACAUUGUGAUCAUAUUUUUGUUAUAAUAAAAUAUACAUGCUUUUAUAAUUUAA
This is a long non-coding RNA of Bombyx mori (domestic silkworm), 4274 nucleotides long. RefSeq lists it as uncharacterized. The transcript is spliced from 2 exons. NCBI's taxonomy places the organism in Eukaryota, Metazoa, Arthropoda, Insecta, Lepidoptera, Bombycidae. The record is from RefSeq and is a predicted model, not a curated record.